Molecule: ribosomal RNA, 477 nt
Filed under: uncultured bacterium
Lineage: Bacteria
Description: partial 16S ribosomal RNA
Rfam family: Bacterial small subunit ribosomal RNA
Source: RNAcentral
GAUGAACGCUGGCGGCGUGCCUAAUACAUGCAAGUCGAGCGAACAGACGAGGAGCUUGCUCCUCUGACGUUAGCGGCGGACGGGUGAGUAACACGUGGAUAACCUACCUAUAAGACUGGGAUAACUUCGGGAAACCGGAGCUAAUCCCGGAUAAUAUAUUGAACCGCAUGGUUCAAUAGUGAAAGACGGUUUUGGUGGCACUAAUGGAUGGAUCCGCGCCUCAUUAGCUAGUUGGUGGGGUAACGGCGUACCAAGGCAACGAUGGGUAGCCGGCCUGAGAGGGUGACCGGCCAGAUUGGGACUGAGAUACGGCCCAGACUGCUACGGGAGGCAGAAGUGGGGAAUAUUGCACAAUGGGCGGAAGCCUGAGGCAGCAACGCCGCGUGCGGGAUGACGGCCUUCGGGUUGUAAACCGCUUUCGCCUGUGACGAAGCGUGAGUGACGGUAAUGGGUAAAGAAGCACCGGCUAACUACGUG